UAUCACAAAACAUGCUGAACCGGAGUAUCUGAAAUUUCAACUUCUUCAGUAGUAUUUCUCAUCUCUCUUCAAUGGCUUCCACCCUCCCUCUUCACCAUCCCACCCACUGGUUCCUCUCCACUCCUAAGCAGUUGAAGAGUUUCCACCAUGGUUGGUCACCACCGUGACCUAGUUGCUCUUUUCUUGCUGACACCCAAAAUCAGAUUAGACCCAUUAGAGUGAACACUGAGAUUUCUCAAUAUCCCAUAUUCCAACCUCCCCAAGUUGAAGAAGAAUCAUCCUCUGAGUUGGAGUCAGCAGACCCUGAUUUUUAUAAGAUAGGGUAUGUAAGGAGCAUGAGAGCUUAUGGAGUAGACUUUAAAGAAGGGCCAGA
Quercus lobata is the source of this 373-nucleotide long non-coding RNA. RefSeq lists it as uncharacterized. The transcript is spliced from 3 exons. NCBI's taxonomy places the organism in Eukaryota, Viridiplantae, Streptophyta, Magnoliopsida, Fagales, Fagaceae. The record is from RefSeq and is a predicted model, not a curated record.